GUACAAUGGCAGUAGGUUACCUGAAGAAGUGGGAAAGUCCUCUGAUUCCUUCAGAUAUCCAACACCUCUCAGAUCUGCCUUUGUACAAGUCAUGAGCAGCACACCAUGUGGCCUGAGGAUACUGGGACCCAGGGACAGCUCUUGGGCACAUGCAGUGUCUAUGCCCAGACAGGUUCCCCUUGUACUUAUGAGCAUCUACACUGACUCUGCUGGGACCUCACCCUGAACUGCCCAAGGAGAAUGAGUGCCUCUGGAUACUCCUGAUAUUGAAGACUCAGAGAGCAGAGAUGAUGCUGCAAACCCUUCUCAUGAGCCAAACACAUGGUGAUCCUGGUUCCCUGUGGAAAUCUGAUGCCACAUAGGAUACCUCUCUCCUGUUGUAUAACACAGAGAGAUGUGCUCUUUCCAAUUAGCCCGCAAAGAAGGAUUUUCACAGUAACUCAAGAUGAAAUCAUGGCUUGAAGUGAGAAGGCGUGAACAAGCUGCAGAUUUGCAGGCGGAUGGGAGAGGGCAGGGAGGAGGAGAUGGACAAUGCAUGUUUUUUUGUGGAU
Molecule: long non-coding RNA, 551 nt
Organism: Motacilla alba alba
Lineage: Eukaryota; Metazoa; Chordata; Aves; Passeriformes; Motacillidae
Exons: 3
Source: RefSeq, a predicted model, not a curated record